GAAGAAGAGGUCAUCAAUAGAAAGAAUAAGGAAAGAGGAUUCCAACGGCGCAAAUUAGAGCUUGAACAAAAUCAGGUGUUAUCAUUUCUUUUUCCUUCCACUAUGAGUUAUUUCUUGCAUUUAAUAUAUUAAAAAAAAAUUUUGAAAUAAAUUAAUGUAGAAAAGAAAUAAGAGUAAGUUAGAAAGUAUUUGCUAAUAAAUGUAGUGAGUCACAGAGAAGAUUAGCUGGUUAGACUCUUGGUGGCAUAGAUCAUUUAAAGACUAUUAGCACUUCCAAUUGCACAUGCACACUAACAAGGUAAAGUAGGN
This 309-nucleotide long non-coding RNA is filed under the name Elaeis guineensis (African oil palm). RNAcentral's name for it is "long non-coding RNA (EGUI_LNC020063)". Lineage: Eukaryota; Viridiplantae; Streptophyta; Magnoliopsida; Arecales; Arecaceae. The record is from RNAcentral.